RNAcentral lists this ribosomal RNA (789 nucleotides) under uncultured archaeon. Its description in RNAcentral is "bacterial SSU rRNA". It matches the Rfam family "Archaeal small subunit ribosomal RNA", at positions 85 to 879 of the family's 1478-position model. The record is from RNAcentral.
ACUGCUCAGUAACACGUGGACAAUCUAACCUACGGAAGAGGAUAACCCCGGGAAACUGGGGAUAAUACUCUAUAGACUAUGGAUGCUGGAAUGCUUUGUAGUCGAAAGGUCCGCCGCCGUAGGAUGGGUCUGCGGCCGAUUAGGUUGUUGUUGGGGUAACGGCCCAACAAGCCUGUAAUCGGUACGGGUUGUGGGAGCAAGAGCCCGGAGAUGGAUUCUGAGACACGAAUCCAGGCCCUACGGGGCGCAGCAGGCGCGAAAACUUUACAAUGCGGGAAACCGUGAUAAGGGAACUCCGAGUGCCCGUAAAAUCGGGCUGUCCAUCAGUUUAAAUAACUGGUGAAGAAAGGGCCGGGCAAGACCGGUGCCAGCCGCCGCGGUAAUACCGGCGGCUCGAGUGGUGGCCACUAUUACUGGGCUUAAAGCGUUCGUAGCUGGUUUGUUAAGUCUCUGGGGAAAUCUUCCGGCUUAACCGGAAGGCGUCUCAGGGAUACUGGCAGACUAGGGACCGGGAGAGGUGAGAGGUACUCCAGGGGUAGGAGUGAAAUCCUGUAAUCCUUGGGGGACCACCUGUGGCGAAGGCGUCUCACCAGAACGGCUCCGACAGUGAGGGACGAAAGCUGGGGGAGCAAACCGGAUUAGAUACCCGGGUAGUCCCAGCUGUAAACGAUGCGCGUUAGGUGUAUCGGUGACCACGAGUCACCGAGGUGCCGAAGAGAAAUCGUGAAACGUGCCGCCUGGGAAGUACGGUCGCAAGGCUGAAACUUAAAGGAAUUGGCGGGGGAGCAC